AAAAAAAAAAAAAAUUUUUUGUUUUUUUUUUUCAGGAGGAAAGUAAACCCCCCCCGGAUCGCGCUAGUAACGGCGAGUGAAGCGGCAACAGCUCAAAUGUGAUAGCUAGCCUUCGGGUUCGCAUUGUAAUUGUAGAGGAUGAUUCGUGAAGCCGCCUGUCUAAGUUCCUUGGAACAGGACGUCAUAGAGGGUGAGAAUGUAGUAUGUGACAGGAAAUGGCAGCCUAUGUAAAUCUCCUUCGACGAGUCGAGUUGUUUGGGAAUGCAGCUCUAAAUGGGAGGUAAAUUUCUUCUAAAGCUAAAUAUUGGCGAGAGACCGAUAGCGCACAAGUAGAGUGAUCGAAAGAUGAAAAGCACUUUGGAAAGAGAGUUAAAAAGCACGUGAAAUUGUUGAAAGGGAAGCGCUCGCAAUCAGACUUGUUUAAACUGUUCGGCCGGUCUUCUGACCGGUUUACUCAGUUUGGACAGGCCAGCAUCAGUUUCGGCGGCCGGAUAAAGGCUCUGGGAAUAAGGCCUCCACUUCGGUGGAGGUGUGAUAGCCCAGGGUGUAAUACGCCCAUCCGGGACUGAGGUCCGCGCUUCGGCUUGUGUGCGGAUACAGUCGACUUGG
This 609-nucleotide ribosomal RNA is filed under the name Aureobasidium pullulans. RNAcentral describes it as "partial 26S ribosomal RNA". It matches the Rfam family "Eukaryotic large subunit ribosomal RNA", at positions 1 to 637 of the family's 3401-position model. The record is from RNAcentral. Lineage: Eukaryota; Fungi; Ascomycota; Dothideomycetes; Dothideales; Saccotheciaceae.